Molecule: RNA transcript, 2603 nt
Organism: Trematomus bernacchii (emerald rockcod)
Lineage: Eukaryota; Metazoa; Chordata; Actinopteri; Perciformes; Nototheniidae
Gene: popdc2
Gene name: popeye domain containing 2
Exons: 4
Source: RefSeq, a predicted model, not a curated record
UCGACAUUGCAGGCCGGUGGCUGAAAGAAAUAGCCAGAGCGAGGGAGACGACAGGAAGACUCGGGAGGGAAAGACUGAGGAGAGGAAGGGAUAAUGAGAGAAGAAGAAGAAACCCAUUCCAGCUGUGUUUCGAUAACAGAGCCGUGAGAACUUCUUCACAUUGAGGAAUUUUCCACGGCACGCCAAGGGAACAAACUUCUGACAUUCUCCUGUCGGCAUUUUUUUUUUUUCCACAAACAAAACAUCUACUUGUACAUGUUGACGGGACAUAAAUAGCACCACAGUUCAUUGAACGAGAAGUUGAAUUUACUGUUUUAGUUUGGUGCAUCAGAAGCCUCUCCUCAGCUUGUCAUUUUGAAGACAAACAUGAGCAACUUGACUCUGCUGGAGAGCUUGUUCUUCCCUCCUCUCUGCGAUGGCUGGACCAACAACACAGAGGGAGCCAUCUACCAUUUGGGCAACACCAUGCUGGUCCUGGGCUACAUGGGGGGCAGCGGGGCCUACGGGUGCCUCUUCAUCUUCGGCUUCCUGACUCCAGCCUUCGGGUGCCUGACCCUGUGGGGCUGGAUGACGAUGUGCGGCCUGGAUGUUUUCACCUGGAACCUCCUCCUGCUGCUGGCUUGCCUGGGUCAGAUCUGCCACCUGCUGUACCGGCUGCACCAGGAGGGGAUACGCAGCGAGGAGAUGACCUCCCUCUACCAGGCGGUGUACCUGCCGCUGGGCGUGCCCGUCCAGGUGUUCCAGGAGAUCGCAGGCGUCUUUGAGAGCAAGGUGGUGGAUCUGAAAGCAGGAGAGACGUACGCUGUGGAGGGAAAGACGCCCAUCGACCAGCUCUCUUUUCUGCUGUCUGGGAGGAUCAAUGUAUCUUUGGAGGGUCAGUUCCUGCACUACAUCCACCGCCACCAGUUCCUCGACUCUCCAGAGUGGGAGUCUCUCAGACCAAACGAGGAGGGAAAGUUUCAGGUGACGAUGACAGCAGAAGAAGACUCUCGCUACAUAUCGUGGCGUCGCCGUCGCCUCUACCUCUUGAUGUCGAAGCAUCGCUAUAUCUCCCGCGUGUUCUCCGUCAUGCUGGGCCACGACAUCGCCGAGAAGCUCUACAACCUCAACGACAAGCUAUACAUCAAGUGCGGCGUGCUGCUGGACAUCCGCCUGCCCAGCCUCUACCACGUGUUGGCCCCUUCCUCUCAGAGCAGCGAGGGCAGCGAGGUCAAAGAGCAUCUUCAUCAUCAGGGAGAAGACCCAGCACCGACCUAUCAGACCUCAGAGACCUCAGAUCCAGACGAGUUUCAGCCCAGCCUGCAGGGACCAAGAACCCCCCACCUGGAAGACCCCCAGAACCCCCUGAACGACCGCCAUCACAUCCCCUGGGCGUCAGACCCCGAGCUGCCCACCGGUGAGGACUCCACCAGCCUGGUCCUGGAGGAUUUUGCCGAUGUGGCAGGCUCCUUAACGGAUUAUGGCAGUGAGAGGGAUUAUUUGAGGUAGAGGGGCAUGGAGGGGGCUGCGGCUAACACACUGGGUCACCACUUAAGCUACAUGCGGGGAUGGUAACGGGAAACUUCCACCUCGAUUCCUGAGGGGCAGAGCGCCGCUGGCUCCCACCGAGACUCCCAAACUGUGAGAGCAGUUUCUCCUGGAAACACUUUAUCAUCAUCAGCAGUGAGUCUCCUCCUCCCUCACCUCAGUUCACAUCAUCAGGCCUGAGCACAGAGAAGACCUUCCUUCUCUCUAUUUCAUUUACAGCCUGAGUGAUAAGGAUAAUAUUGAUAUCUUUUACCAAUCAAUACUUGUGGAAAGCUGAUAUUCAUCACCAUAAUAACUUAAAUGUAUGUUAUGUCCACAAUUUGUAAGUUCUUUGUGUCAUCUGGUCAUGAUUUAAAGCCUCUGAAGAAGCAUUAAUGCCACCAAAUCUGCCUUAAAAUCUUAGAAGCAGGGGGACCCACCACAUGUAUUCAAUUAGAAAAUAUAGAUAUUUCAGCAUUUCAAUGAGCAAAGAUGUUAUUAUAGAUUUUUGUAAACACCAAGUGAACCAAUACACUUGUCACAGUUCUCAACAAAAAAAAGAAGAGACAUGCUGACAUUUAAUACAUCUUAAUGACACUUUCAUAUAUGUACCUGAGGACAGAGGGAUGGCUUUCACGUUACCAGCAUAUGAAAUGUAUUCUGUGAUAAUUCAACAGAUGUAUUAAGUGUUCAUCUUACCAACAAUAAAGGUAAGACAUUGACUUCAUGUGAUUACAUUUGACUGUUCAUGUUUUUUUAUUUCUUCCCACAACUUAUAUUCAGUGUUACAGAGAAUACUAUAACUUUGUUACGUCACAUUUUCUGGAUCUGACCCGUUACAACAGUUUAGAAAUAGUCAGCAUGCAUUUCUCAACUCUUUGUCCUUUUAAAUUGUCUGGAAAAUGUUUUGCAUACUUCACAGGAACUUUUCAGACACGAAACGUCUUCGCAGUUUAGAUUUUUUUCCACUUUUAGUUUAUUUAUCUGAUGCCAAAUUCAUCUAGAGGAAAACCCUCUUAUAUUACAAUGCUUGUAGACCAUGUUUUGUGUUUUCUGUAACUGAGUAUUUAAUACACACAUGUAAACUGUGAAUCAUA